This 1849-nucleotide long non-coding RNA is filed under the name Nicotiana benthamiana. RNAcentral describes it as "long non-coding RNA (NBEN_LNC022111)". Lineage: Eukaryota; Viridiplantae; Streptophyta; Magnoliopsida; Solanales; Solanaceae. The record is from RNAcentral.
UUCAUUCCUAGGAGACGCACUUCCUAGUUUGAGUAAUUGAAGUUUCACCCACAGGAGACGCACUUCCUAGUUUGGGUCAUGUAAGUUCAUUCCUAGGAGACGCAGUUCCUAGUUUGAGUAAUUGAAGUUUCACCCUUAGGAGACGCACUUCCUAGUAUGGGUCUGUCAGGUUAAAUUUUUGUCCUAGGAGACGCACUUCCUAAAUAAAAAUUUUAUUCGCAGGAGACGCACUUCCUAGUUUGGGUCAUGUAAGUUCAUUCCCAGGAGACGCACUUCCUAGUUUGAGUAAUUAAAGUUUCACCCCCUAGGAGACACAAAUCCUAGUUUGGGUCUUGCAGGAUAUAUUGUGUUUUAGGAGGCGCACUUCCUAAAUUAAAAUUUUACCCCUAGGAAACGCACUUCCCAGUUCGGGUCAUGUAAGUUCAUUCAUAGGAGACGCACUUCCUAGUUUUGGUUCAUUCAAGUUACAUCCCUAAGAGACGCACUUCGUAGUUUGGUUCAUAUAAGUUCAUUCCUAGGAGAUGCACUUCCUAGUUUCAGUUAUUGAAAUUUCACCCCUAAGAGACAUACUUCCUAGUCUAUGUCUGUCAGGUUAUAUUUUUGUUUUAGGAGACGCACUUCCUAAAUUGAGGUUUUACCUCUGGGAGACGCACCUCCUAGUUUGAGUUAUUCAAGUUUUAUUCCUAGGAGAUGCACUUCCUAGUUUUGGUUCAUUCANNNNNNNNNNNNNNNNNNNNNNNNNNNNNNNNNNNNNNNNNNNNNNNNNNNNNNNNNNNNNNNNNNNNNNNNNNNNNNNNNNNNNNNNNCCCCUAGGAGACGCACUUGGAAAUGCACUUCCUAGUUUGAGUUAUUCAAGUUUUAUUCCUAGGAGAUGCACUUCCUAGUUUUGGUUCAUUCAAGUUACACCCCUAGGAGACGCACUUCCUAGUUUAAGUUAUUCAAGUUUUACACGCACUUCGUAGUUUUGAUUCAUUCAAGUUACAUCCCUAGGAGGCACACUUCCUAGUUUGAGUUAUUGAAGUUUUAUCCCUAAGAGACGCACUUCCUAGUUUUAGGUUCAUCCAAGUUUCAUCCCUAAGAAUCGCACUUCAUUAUUUGAGUCAUUUAGGUUCUAUUCUUAGAAGACGCACUUGCUAGUCAAAUAUUCUUGGUUUUACUCACAGGAGACGCACAUCUUAUUCAAGUCUUUAGUUUUACUCUCAUUAUUGCAUCAGUACCAUAAGUAGUUUACAAUUUUUUUUAACAACUCACAAAUCUUCCUAGUGCAAAUUGGGACAGAAAAUUUUGUUUGUUUUGUUGUUUUGAUUGCAGACACACACCUGGAGAACGAGGGAAGACAUUUCAAAGUUCAUUUCAGAAUCAGUUCAAGUUUCAUGUCAGUAGCAGGCACCCAGCUGAAGAACAAGGGAAGCCAUUUUAAAUUUCAAUUCAAGUAGAAGUAGCAGAAGCUCGCGGCCAGAAUGCGAGUCAACAAUCGUAGGUGACCAACAGAAGUGGUCUCAAUCCAAAAAAGAAAAAAAAUGAAAAAAAAGGAACGAACAGAAUCCAAAAUGCAGAAGCUGAGACAAGAGGUGGGUUGUUCAUGGUAUGUCCGGUCUCGAUCCGAAAAAGCUGGAGAAGAAUGAACUGGCACCUGCAGCUAGCGAGCGUCAAAAUUCACAUCUAAAGUCUGCAUGAAGAACCAUUCAAGACUCAAGACCGAAGGCUCGGUCACAUUUCCUUUUCUCUUAAUUUUAGUCCCUCCAAAUAAGGGUCGGGUAAAAAACAUGCCUAGUCGUUCUUUGUCUGAAAAUACUUCGUAUUUCCCGUCAAAGAGGGGCAGUUGUAGACACGUGAUUUUUGACCUUCC